Molecule: ribosomal RNA, 420 nt
Filed under: uncultured bacterium
Lineage: Bacteria
Description: partial 16S ribosomal RNA
Rfam family: Bacterial small subunit ribosomal RNA
Source: RNAcentral
AAUAUUGGACAAUGGGCGAAAGCCUGAUCCAGCCAUGCCGCGUGUGUGAAGAAGGUCUUCGGAUUGUAAAGCACUUUAAGUUGGGAGGAAGGGCAGUAAGUUAAUACCUUGCUGUUUUGACGUUACCGACAGAAUAAGCACCGGCUAACUUCGUGCCAGCAGCCGCGGUAAUACGAAGGGUGCAAGCGUUAAUCGGAAUUACUGGGCGUAAAGCGGGCGUAGUGGGUUGGUAAAGUGGGAAGUGAAAGCCCCGGGCUCAACCUGGAAACUGCUUUAAAACCUGGCAAGCUAGGGUAUGGCAAAGGUGGGGGAAAUUUCCGGGGAGGGGGGGAAAGCGGUAGAAAAAGGAAGGAACACAAGUGGGAAAGGGGACCACCGGGGUUAAACCUAAACCUGAGGUGCAAAAGGGGGGGAGCAAAC